AACGUAGGAGGCAAGCGUUAUCCGGAUUUACUGGGCGUAAAGUGUGCGCAGGCGGCUGAGCAAGUCGAGUGUGAAAGCCCCGGGCUUAACUUGGGAAUUGCGCUCGAAACUACUUGGCUUGAGUGUGGCAGAGGAAGGUGGAAUUCCACGUGUAGCGGUGAAAUGCGUAGAGAUGUGGAGGAACACCGAUGGCGAAGGCAGCCUUCUGGGCCAACACUGACGCUCAUGCACGAAAGCGUGGGGAGCAAACAGG
This 253-nucleotide ribosomal RNA is filed under the name uncultured bacterium. Its description in RNAcentral is "partial 16S ribosomal RNA". It matches the Rfam family "Bacterial small subunit ribosomal RNA", at positions 524 to 776 of the family's 1533-position model. The record is from RNAcentral.